This is a long non-coding RNA of Cyprinus carpio (common carp), 975 nucleotides long. NCBI's taxonomy places the organism in Eukaryota, Metazoa, Chordata, Actinopteri, Cypriniformes, Cyprinidae. The record is from Ensembl.
AUGGAGGAUAGCAGGGGAUGGGGAAAUUAUGAAAAUCUGUUUAUCUUAUACAUCAGCAAUUCCCAGAUGAAUAGUGCUGUAACAAUAGCAGGAUUGAUGAAUAUUGCUCUCCCUUUCAUGACCAGCUCUUGGCGGGAUCCCUCAGACUUGACAUUCAACUUAAAGACUUGCCACGGGUCAGCAGUUGCAUGCUGGACUAAAGGAAGCAACACAAUCAAGAAUCUCCACAAGUGCAGGUCAUUGAGGGCACUGAGCGUAUCCUCCAGACGUGGCAUGACUUUCAAAGGACUGGCAUGCCUGCCACCUGAAGGUCCCAGGUUCACUUUUCCUGGAACAAAGCAAAUGAAAAGGAGAAGAUCAGAGACUGUCGAUCACGGCGUGAAGUUCUUGUUUAUGUCUCAACAAAACUGACAGCAGAGCAUCACUCCAAACUUGAACCUAGGUCAUCCCAACUAUAAAUAGCCGUCUGUGUGAUAACACAGCCUGAAUGUCUGGCCAGAUUUGAUAUUAACUGGUUUAAUGUCUGAUCCCUAUAGAGACAGCCAAAAUAUUUUUCAUCCCAAAUGACUAAACAAAAUACAAGCGUUUUAUCUUAUGACAGAAAUCAUUCUAACAUGCUAACAUUGGGUGUUUUUUAAUUAUCAAUGUGUAUUUUAAAAAAUGCAUGACAUUAUAAAAUUAAACUUUACAUGUAACACACUGAAUACACAUGAUAUGCAAGAUUCAACAGCCCCUCAAAAAAAAAAACUGUUGUAGGUACUUCAUUAACUGUUCAGUGUGUGAAACUCAUCAUGUUCUCUCCUGCUCUUCUGCUUCUCUGGGUUUCUGUUUUUCUCAUCAUGAGAACUGGCCUGCUCUUGUGUAAAGAGGAAACAAUUGAUACAAUGAGGGAGUAAACGUGGCGAGUUCAACCACAGGCCUUGAUAAUGUCACGAGGAUCUUUAAUACAUGUAAUAAAUUCUAUGUUUAACCUCA